Molecule: unclassified non-coding RNA, 3573 nt
Filed under: Dermacentor andersoni
Lineage: Eukaryota; Metazoa; Arthropoda; Arachnida; Ixodida; Ixodidae
Description: microtubule-associated protein 4-like
Source: RNAcentral
AGGGCCACUGCGGCAUUCCAAAGCGGCACUGCAGGAGGGGUUAGGCCACGCCGCGCUGCUUCCCGUGCUUUAUUUUUUUCGUUUUUUCGUUGCGCGGAAAGCAAGAGGAAGAAGCAGAAGAAGGCGCGACCGGCCACCCCCUCCUCGAAAAAAAAAACAUAGAGAGCGGCGGCGUCACAACUGCAUAGUCGGGACCGGCGGACACCGGCGGCGAACACCAGCUCGCUCUCGGCGGUCGACACCACUGCCGCAUGGACAAGGCUAGCGCCGCGGAAGUGUCCCAGCCGAGUGCCGCCCAGACAGCAGCGAGAAGCGACGAUACAGCGUCCGCCGACGCCAGUGCCAAGCCUUCGACGACUGCGGACGACCAAGCACAGAGACAUCAUGACCUCCUCCCGAAGACAGUGGACCCUGCUGCGGCGCGCGGCGCCGCAAACGGACAUUCAGCGACUCAGGAACCGGCGAAGCCUCGUGAAGGCGGCGUCGCGCCAGCAAGGGAGGCCGGCGUCGAAUCUGAGCGGACUGCGCCGGUGCCCUCAGUGAGCGACGCCGGAGGUGGCGAAAAGCCUGUGCCUCCCGCGAAGAGUCAACCCCCUCCAUCGGACGAGAAGCAGCCGUCCGGCGCCGCCCCGAGCACAUAUCCCGAGCCAGAGAGAAUCUCCACCGAAGUGCCAGAAAAGAAGCCUGUGAUGGAGGACAAGACAGAACGAACGGGACCAGAAAAGGAAUCACGUGAGGUGCCUCCGUCGGCCCCGGCGGCCGAUCGAGACGGUGCAGUGCCUUCGCAAGAGAAACAGCAGCAACAGCGGCCCGAGAGUGAUAGCAGCGUGGCCAAGCAACCUGCCAAAGAAGUGGAAGCAGCGAAAGAAGGUGGCGCGAAGGGCGCGUCCACGCAAACCGACCAAGAGCCCCAAGGAAUGGCGGAAGAGAAGCCCGGUGCCAAAACUGCCGACGCAGUCGCUUCCCCGACAGCAGGUGCAACUCGGGAAGAAAAGCGGCCGGAGGAAGCUAGUAGCGAAGUUUCGGAAGCGGCUCCCAGCGAAUCGACAAAAGUAACCUCGAGCGCUGCUGAGGCUGGCGAAGGCAAAGCGGAGAAUGGGAAGCCAUCUAACGGGGCAGUGUUGCCCCAGGAGACGUGUAAAUCUGUCGCGGACGCCGGCACUAAAGUUCCGCAGGAACACGCGAGUCCCGGCGGGGACGGCGCGAGUUUACAGCCCUCCGCGAAUGGCGCUGGAGAUGCUAAACAGCCCACACCUGACGACACGAGGCCAAAAUCUUCCAUUCCGCCACCGCCAGUGUACGAGGUGCCAUCGCGGACUAGCUCGGGAAAGGGUGAACCGAAACAAGCCGAGGAAGACAAGCAAAAGACGCAAAUGGCCGAACAACCGGCGGAAACGAUAAAAGGAAACGGACCCGUGGAGGCAGCGAGGCUGCAAGAAGUGACCGAAUCAAUUAUGCCAGCUACGGCGUGCCACACUGGCACGACUGACACGGUGCGCCCCGACGCGAUACGAAAGGAGUCCGCACCCAAGGAAGCGUAUUCCAGCAGCGCCGCGCUAGACGACGUAUUAGACGAGGAAGCAAUCAGGGCGCAGUUGUACCCCGCCGAGGUGGAGGGCUUGGCUCCACCGAAAAGGGCAGAAGUGAAAGAACCGGAAGCCAGUGAACCGCAGUCUGUCGCUAAAGAGACCGAGAAGAGCGCCGCGAGCGGCCUUCCGAGCUCCAGUGAAACAAAACUCGAACCGGGUGCCAAAACGCCGCAGCCGGACGUCGAGCGCGAAGAAGCCCAUGACGAAUCGCGGGAUGUUCUCGACGCCGAUGUGAAAGCAGGCGAGCGGGCAGAACCACCAGGGGCGCAAGUUCCCGAGAAAGACACGGCUAUACCUAGCGAAGAGGUCACCAAAGAAGAGAAGCCAGAGAAAGUAGCGAAAGAAGCACCUCCCUCCGCUCCUACUACGAAACAAGCAGAAGCACCCGAAAAAGUAGAGAAACCAGCUGACAAAGUCGAAAAGGCCGAUGAGCUCGAGAAGCAAGUGGACACGACGCCAAGUGUAAAGACUGAAGGUCCUCCACAAGAAAGCAAGGUCGCCGAAACGGCUCCACGAGAGGAUAGUGCAGAACGAGAGGACGAGAAGGCGAAAGCUGCCGCCAGUCCCAACAAGCAAGACGAAAAGACUGAAGAAAAGGUCGAGCGUGUCGCCAAGGAAGAUGACGCCAAAGAGGUUGCCCCUCACGACGCGACGCAGGAACCCAGCGAGCCUUCACCGGCUAAGGAAGAAACCACGCAAGUUCGCGACGUCACCGCAGAGAGUGACAAGCCGUCAAAGGAAGCGGAGCGCACCCACGAAGUCGACUCAGCAAAAGAUACGUCCAAAGCCGCGGCUUCUCCUGAGCCGGGUGUCGGUGAGAAAGAACCGUCACAGACAACCGAGGAAACCUUGCCGAAAGAAAAAGAAGUGGGUCAGAACGUGCCAAAGGAGGCAGAGGGGGGACCAGAGGAACUCGACGUUCAAGAGCUCCCUCCUCAGGAGCCAGGAAAGCCAGACAAAAUUAAAACAAACGAAGAAACUGCGGCGCCGAAACUUUCGGACGCUGUUGCAGAGCCAGAGAACAAAGAAAUAAUAAGUAAAUCUGAAGAAGAGCCGUCGAAGGCGCCACCCGGGGACUCUGAAGUGUCCGGCGCUCCAGAACCGGCUACUCAAGAAGAAGCCCCCACCGCAGUUGAGCCCCAGGAAAGCGUUCCAGAAGUAACCAAAGACAAAGCGGAAGCGUCCGAGGAAGAAGUCGUAAAGACAGAUGAAGUCCCCGUUACCACAGCAGUCAAAGAAGAAGCAGCCCAGCCGGAGCCUACAGAUGAAGCCACACCAGAAAAGGUAGAAGACGAAGCACCUGAGUCUGGCGACAAGGCAAGUGAAGAAGCAACAACAAUGGUUGAAGCUGCUCAAAAAGAAGCUGAGGAGCCUGGCACUGACAUGCCAGUGGGUGCGGACGAGACGGCGGAACAGGCAUCUGAAGACCAAGGUGGUGAAGAAGCAGCCACUGCCGCCGAAGCUGAGCCAGAGGCUGGAGACGAAAGCAAGAGAGCUUCCGAGGCUGCCGAAGAAAGUGAAAAGCCGAUGGCCGAAACAGUGUCCGAGGAAAAGACCGAAGAGGCCACCGACGGGGCAGCUCCUUCCGAACUUGAACCGACGCCACCUGCGGAAGCAGUGAAAAAGAAAACCGGCUUGCCAAAGUCGCCGUCCAAGCGCGCGACGGGCAAAGGUCCGCCCAGGACUCUUGACAAAAAAAGAGACUUCCGCAGCAGCAGACGCAAAGGCAAAGACGCCCAGCUCUCCCAAGAAGCCCAGCAGCAUUCACGAAAAAGGCGGACCGUCGCCUAAGAAGACUGCGCCCACCAAGAAUGGCGUCACCUCCCCGUCGAAGACGGCGAGGACACCUGGCUCCGAGCAGAAAAAACUACCUCCGAUCAAGGCUCCUGUGGGCCAGGCACCCAAGCCCGACCUGAAGAACGUGCGCUCCAAGAUCGGCUCUCUGGACAACAUCAAGCACAAGCCUAAGGGCGGAGAAGUCAAG